Molecule: ribosomal RNA, 253 nt
Filed under: uncultured bacterium
Lineage: Bacteria
Description: partial 16S ribosomal RNA
Rfam family: Bacterial small subunit ribosomal RNA
Source: RNAcentral
UACGUAGGGGGCAAGCGUUGUCCGGAUUUAUUGGGCGUAAAGAGCGUGUAGGCGGCCAUACAGGUCCGUUGUGAAAACUGGAGGCUCAACCUCCAGACGUCGACGGAAACCGUAUGGCUAGAGUCCGGAAGAGGAGAGUGGAAUUCCUGGUGUAGCGGUGAAAUGCGCAGAUAUCAGGAAGAACACCCGUGGCGAAGGCGGCUCUCUGGAACGCAACUGACGCUGAGACGCGAAAGCGUGGGGAGCAAACAGG